UUCUAUUUGACCCUGGUAGAUAAUAGAAACGUGGUUAGUAGAGCUACAUACAAUAAUUAUAUGUUAAUUAAGUGUUAAAUUAGAAAGUUUUAUUUGGUAGUAGUUAGGACUGUUAGUAUAAAGAGAUUUAAUAA
RNAcentral lists this ribosomal RNA (134 nucleotides) under Schistosoma rodhaini. RNAcentral describes it as "partial 12S ribosomal RNA". Lineage: Eukaryota; Metazoa; Platyhelminthes; Trematoda; Strigeidida; Schistosomatidae. The record is from RNAcentral.